CCCUUAGAUGUUCGUGGCCGCACGCGCGCUACACUGAAGGAAUCAGCACGUCUUUCUCCUUGUCCGAAAGGACUGGGUAACCCGCUGAACCUCCUUCGUGCUAGGGAUUGGGGCUUGUAAUUCUUCCCCAUGAACGAGGAAUUCCCAGUAAGCGCGAGUCAUAAGCUCGCGUUGAUUACGUCCCUGCCCUUUGUACACACCGCCCGUCGCUACUACCGAUUGGAUGGUUUAGUGAGAUCCUCGGAUUGGUCCCGGAGCGGCCUCUGGUCGUGCCGGAGUGCCGAAAAGAAUGUCGAACUUGAUCAUCUAGAGGAAGUAAAAGUCGUAACA
Molecule: ribosomal RNA, 330 nt
Filed under: uncultured eukaryote
Lineage: Eukaryota
Description: partial 18S ribosomal RNA
Rfam family: Eukaryotic small subunit ribosomal RNA
Source: RNAcentral